CUGCCUAGAUCUGGGAAGAGUCGGGUCUCCCAGGACUCCUGCAGGGUGGCAGGAGUUCUUGGAGGCAGCAUGAGGACGCUGGUCAGAGUGUGGCCCGCUCCAGGUGCCAGAAGCAAGUCGUUCCCCUUCGGCUGUGGCCCAGGAGCCUCAAGGCCAUGGGCCUGCCUAGGGAGUGCCAGAGGGACGCCCUUCUCUGCUGUCUCUGCCACGUUUGCGUGCUCUCCAGCUGACUCAAGGAGGAAGCAGAACAAGAAUCACUCCUGUGGACCAGUGUCGGGGCCAAAAAUUCCUUAGGGUGUUCCUAAUGGGAAAAUCUCAAGUCUCAACACCAGCGCAGAAAUUCUGAUUUCUCUUCUGGAAGCCUCCCAGGAUGACCUCUCCAGCUCACCGACACUCACUAAGCCCCACUUUGGCAAAUGGAAAUUUGUGUUCAUUUCCCGUUCCUGGAGAGUCUGAAAAGCGAUUGUUGCGUAUCGAUCCCACAACUUGCCUCGGUUUUAUGGACGAAAACAGGCAUUGGCCAUCGUCAGCCCUCCUUAGGAUUAUUAGACGUUCACAGGAGUCAAUAUAUGUAAAAGCAGCCGCAGAUGAGCGUUAUUCAUUAACUCCGUGGAGUUUCACAACCGGGAGAGAUUACGCUGCAGCCACGUGUGUGAUGGGCUGCAGUAGACCUGGCUGGAGUCCUGAAAGGCCAGGCAAGAGGCAGGAAGGGGCCCAGGGAAGAAGCACAGGGUCCCUGAAGGGCUGUGGUGCUGAGGAGGGAGCCCAGCAGGACUGUCCAGUAGCUCUCUCCUCGGGG
RNAcentral lists this long non-coding RNA (799 nucleotides) under Ovis aries (sheep). Its description in RNAcentral is "lncRNA (ENSOARG00000026858.1)". Lineage: Eukaryota; Metazoa; Chordata; Mammalia; Artiodactyla; Bovidae. The record is from RNAcentral.